Molecule: transfer RNA, 76 nt
Filed under: Clostridiales bacterium
Lineage: Bacteria; Bacillati; Bacillota; Clostridia; Eubacteriales
Also listed under: 4 other names
Description: tRNA-Gln
Rfam family: tRNA
About the family: Transfer RNA (tRNA) molecules are approximately 80 nucleotides in length. Their secondary structure includes four short double-helical elements and three loops (D, anti-codon, and T loops).
Source: RNAcentral
AGGGGUGUAGCCAAGCGGUCAAGGCAACGGACUUUGACUCCGUCAUUCGUGCGUUCAAAUCGCACCAUCCCUGCCA